This 253-nucleotide ribosomal RNA is filed under the name uncultured bacterium. RNAcentral's name for it is "partial 16S ribosomal RNA". It matches the Rfam family "Bacterial small subunit ribosomal RNA", at positions 524 to 776 of the family's 1533-position model. The record is from RNAcentral.
UACGUAGGGACCGAGCGUUAAAAGGAUUCAUUGGGCGUAAAGAGCUCAUAGGCGGCUGCUCAAGUCGAAUGUGAAAACUCGAGGCUCAACCUCGAGCCUGCAUUCGAUACUGGGCGGCUAGAGUCUGGUAGGGGGAUCUGGAAUUCCUGGUGUAGCGGUGAAAUGCGCAGAUAUCAGGAGGAACACCAGUGUUUUAGGCAGCUCUCUGGGACGGUACUGACGCUGAGACGCGAAAGCGUGGGGAGCAAACAGG